RNAcentral lists this ribosomal RNA (434 nucleotides) under uncultured bacterium. Its description in RNAcentral is "bacterial SSU rRNA". It matches the Rfam family "Bacterial small subunit ribosomal RNA", at positions 29 to 508 of the family's 1533-position model. The record is from RNAcentral.
AACGAACGCUGGCGGCAUGCCUAACACAUGCAAGUCGAACGAGACCUUCGGGUCUAGUGGCGCACGGGUGCGUAACGCGUGGGAAUCUGCCCUUAGGUUCGGAAUAACUCAGGGAAACUUGAGCUAAUACCGGAUGAUGUCUUCGGACCAAAGAUUUAUCGCCUAAGGAUGAGCCCGCGUAAGAUUAGCUAGUUGGUGAGGUAAAGGCUCACCAAGGCUACGAUCUUUAGCUGGUCUGAGAGGAUGAUCAGCCACACUGGGACUGAGACACGGCCCAGACUCCUACGGGAGGCAGCAGUGGGGAAUAUUGGACAAUGGGCGAAAGCCUGAUCCAGCAAUGCCGCGUGAGUGAUGAAGGCCUUAGGGUUGUAAAGCUCUUUUGCCAGGGAUGAUAAUGACAGUACCUGGAGAAUAAGCUCCGGCUAACUCCGUGC